GUGGAUUAGAUACCCUAGUAGUCCACGCCGUAAACGAUGUCGACUUGGAGGUUGUGCCCUUGAGGCGUGGCUUCCGGAGCUAACGCGUUAAGUCGACCGCCUGGGGAGUACGGCCGCAAGGUUAAAACUCAAAUGAAUUGACGGGGGCCCGCACAAGCGGUGGAGCAUGUGGUUUAAUUCGAUGCAACGCGAAGAACCUUACCUGGUCUUGACAUCCACGGAAGUUUUCAGAGAUGAGAAUGUGCCUUCGGGAACCGUGAGACAGGUGCUGCACGGUCGUCGCCAGCU
RNAcentral lists this ribosomal RNA (288 nucleotides) under uncultured bacterium. RNAcentral's name for it is "partial 16S ribosomal RNA". It matches the Rfam family "Bacterial small subunit ribosomal RNA", at positions 773 to 1060 of the family's 1533-position model. The record is from RNAcentral.